RNAcentral lists this transfer RNA (72 nucleotides) under Capra hircus (goat). It matches the Rfam family "tRNA". From Rfam's summary of the family: Transfer RNA (tRNA) molecules are approximately 80 nucleotides in length. The record is from Rfam by way of RNAcentral. Lineage: Eukaryota; Metazoa; Chordata; Mammalia; Artiodactyla; Bovidae. RNAcentral also lists the same sequence under 1 other name.
UCCCUGGUGGUUCAGUGGUUAAGAAUCCACCUUGCAACGCAGGGGAAUCAGGUUCGAUCCCUGGCCAGGGAA